UACAGAGGUCUCAAGCGUUGUUCGGAUUCAUUGGGCGUAAAGGGUGUGUAGGUGGCGCCGUAAGUCGGGUGUGAAAUUUCGGAGCUUAACUCCGAAACUGCAUUCGAUACUGCGGUGCUUGAGGACUGGAGAGGAGACUGGAAUUCAUGGUGUAGCAGUGAAAUGCGUAGAGAUCAGGAGGAACACCGGUGGCGAAGGCGGUUCUCUGGGCAUUACCUGACGCUGAGGAGCGAAAGUGUGGGGAGCGAACAGG
This 253-nucleotide ribosomal RNA is filed under the name uncultured bacterium. RNAcentral's name for it is "partial 16S ribosomal RNA". It matches the Rfam family "Bacterial small subunit ribosomal RNA", at positions 524 to 776 of the family's 1533-position model. The record is from RNAcentral.